UUUACAAGUGUAUGUUCAACGAAACUAAAAUUGAUCCAUGCUGCCCAACAUUCAAGAGCAUACUUGGUACAAGUUGCCCUUGCUAUAAAUAUGCAGAGAAUUUGGAUAAUCAAGUGUUAAUUACUAUUGAAGCUUAUUGUGAUGUGGAUAGCCCUUGCAAGGGUGUUCAAGUAAGUUAUAACCCCCCUACUAAUUGAAGCUUAUUGUGAUGUUUAUAGCCCUUGCAAGGGUUUGCAAGUAAGUUUAUCUGUCGUUUAAAAUUUUGACGCACUCAUUAAUAAGGUUAUUUACCAGAACUAAUAUUGACGUGUAUUUAACUAAAUUACCCUUUACCAACAAAGGUUGUGGUGGAGUGGUAAGUACUCCUUUAUCCUUAACCAAAGAUCUCGAAUUCGAGCCCUUGGGUAUGGAGUCGUCUUUGUUAGGGAGCGCUUUACCCCCAUUGUGGGACUUCCCGGCGCGAACCCGAAAUUAGUCGGGCCCUAAUGUGGAACCGGAUACCGGGUGGGAAACCAAAAAAAUCUAAAUACCCAUUCAUUUUCCUUAAAACGAGUGGUCACUGAUUGUAUGUGUCUUUUCUUUUUCAAAUUAUUUUUCUAUAUACAUAUCGAUGCAUUAUGUUAAUUAAUUUCAGGCGAUUAAGCUGUCCAAAGAGGAAGAGUACAAAUAAAGAGACUUGAUGUUUAAUUCCAGAUGUUGUAUUAGAUGAUUUGAUGUUACUCUUCCUGUUGAGAAGUCUUUGGGUUAUGGUUUAGUCUACCAUUUUGUAAGACUUCUGUAAUUUCUCGGAAGUCCACUUGUAAUGUCUGUGUUUCAGCAAUAAUUGGCAUCUGUCGAAUUCUUAGUACUAAAAUAUUAUGGGAAAAUUCAAAAAUAGCCGGAUAUAGAAUUGAUUAUUCAAAAAUAGUUGCGAUUUUAAAAGUAAUCAAAAUUUAGUCAUUUUCAUAUAAACAUAAAUUUGAACGAAAAUACUAAAUAUUCCAGUAUAAUUUAUUGAUGUUCCAGCAUAAGUAUAGUAGAGAUCCAACAUAAUAUAUUGGAUUUCCAGUAUAAUAUACCGGUUCAGCAUAAUAUGCUGGAAGUUUAUACACAGGUACUCCAAUCUCCAGUAUAUUAUGCUGGAACUUUCCGCGUGUUGGAAUUCCAGCAUAAUAUGCUAGAAGUUCAUGCAGAUAUGCACCGAUCUCCAGUAUAUUAUGCUGGAACAUUUUGUGUUGCUGUAAAAUAAUGGUUAUUUUUUAAUAACUGGCUAUUUUUGAAUGACCAAUCCGAAAACUGGCUGGCCAGUGCUAUUUUUACAAAUAUUACAGUGCUCUUUGUAGUCCAUUUUUCUGUAUUUAUUUUUUUCUUUUCUCUUUCUUAUUUUAAGAUAAACAGACAUUAGUUAGAAUAAAAAUGAUUAGGGGCGGAGUUACAGUGUCAAAUGCGGGUUCGACCGAAACGAUUAACUUUUGUCUAUAGUUUGAGUUUUGUUUUGAAAAAAUAAUUGUUACAUACGUAUAAAUAUAUAAUUUACAAUAACUUAAUAGGACUGUUUCAAAUUCUGACUCGCUAAAAAAGAUAGGUCUCCACGGCGAGGAAUGAAAGAACUAUUAUGAAUCCUGUAAAGACUAUAUAUAUAUAUAAUCUUUUUUUACUUUUUAAAUAAUAAAUUAGUCCUUAAUACCAUAUCAUAUUUAGUUACAAACAAACUUAUUUUUGUCUCAAUUUUCGUAGAAGAAGAAGAAAAAAAGAAUCGUGACUAGAUAAUUGUGAUCCUUCCAACCUUAGCCAUUGGAACUUUAUGAAUACAGAAAUUCUCGAUUAAAAAUAUAAUACUUUUCUCUUAAUAAAACUUACAAUGCGAAUUCAAAUUUGCAAUGAUUUUCAAAUAUAAUUAAUAUUAAUAAAAGGAAAACAAGGAUAAUGCCCGACAACCACGUCAUCAAGACUUUGAUUGCAGUAACUGAAUAAAAAAGAUUAUCAUGAGUUGACUGGUUGAAGUAAAUUUUAUAGUUGUACAAUUAUUCAUACAGUAAAAGUUAGGUAUGAGUGAUUCAAAAACUUGAAGUUAUUGUUGAGUGAUUUUAGAUUUUUAUAUAUGUCAGGAUCCCAAAUCGCCUCCGUGAGUAUGUCCUGAUGAUACCUAGUUCUUACGAUUAGAUAAGCCUAACAAUACGGAAUAUAAACCAAAUUACAAAGGAAAAUAAUAAAAAAUUGAAUAACAAAAUAAAUCAGUGUUUAGAGUGUCGCAUGUCACAUACAGUAACAACUCUCGAAAACUAACGAAAAUUCUCAAAGCCCGGAAUCUCACAAAUCACAAGCUAAGGGAUAUAUAAGAAUCUCUGACUCAAGAAUAUCUAUACAAAAUAUAAAUACUGAAAGAGCUAUACUUACUACAGAAAAGCUGGAAAGGAACUCUUCGGUCUGCGGACGUAGCAGAUAUACCUCGAAGUCUCUACCGAUAUGCCUCCUUCCAAGGCUGACAGAACUGAAUGGGGUACCUGUAUCUGCACAACAAAAAUGUGCAGAGGGGUAGCAUGAGCACACCACAGCGGUGCCUAGUAAGUAUCAAGACUAACCUCGAUAGAGUAGUGACGAGGAACAGUCAAGACACCUACCAAUCAAUAAACAGUAUAUUCAUAGGGAUAAUGAAAAUGAUAUAUAACUAUGUAAAUAGUGCAUGAAUGACUAUAACUCAUAAUGAAGGAAAAAGGCAACAAGUAACAACGAGAAUAUAUUAAAUGAUGAUGCGAAAUGAUUGCAGAAUAAGUAGCAUGAGCACACCACGGCGGUGCCCAGUAAGUAUCAAAACUAACCUUGGUGGAGUAGUAACGAGGAACAGUCAAGACACCUAUCGGCUAAUAAACAGUAUAAUCAUACGAAUAACUGAAAUGAUAUAAUAAUAUGUAAUGACUGCACAAAGUAACAAAAAAUGCAACAAUUCACGAUAGGAGAAAGGAACAACAAGUAACAACGAGAAACUAAUAAAUGAAGAUACAUAACGACAGCAAUCACAAUCAAAAUCCUAAGGUCGCAACACCGCAAGGGAAAAGACAAGUCCAUAACUCAUAUCCUACAAUGAUAUUCACAUAAGGCCUUAUUCAUUAUUUCCACAACACCACCAAGUCUCGAACAAACCACAACUCACAAAUCCAGCAUCAGAGAUCUAACACUUGGCAUCCAAUGCCCCAUUAGUCUCUCAGUCAUGCUAACCACUAACCGGCUGACUACGGCCACUCUCACAUAUAUAAUGGGCAACCGAGGGAGUACCUCCCUCCUUAGUAAAACUAGAGCCAUUUACCUCUAACGAAAAUAUUAAACUACGUGUAUGCUUGUGCAAGUAUUCUAACAAGAAUUCUACGAACUAGUAAACAUGAAUAGGAGAACGGAUCACACGUAAAAUGUUUCCUGAUGACUUUCGAGCGAUAAAACGCAUACGGGUAAGCAAACCACAAUCACAAUAAUAAACAUAAUAGGAAUGCCCCCACAUGCAGUCACAAUUCAUUACAAACAGCCCCUGACAUAGCCCACCUUAUUUCGCCACAUGUUCAAAUAAUAAUAUAAUAAACACCGCCUUAUUUCACCACAUGUACAUAACAAUUUUCUCACCUUAUUCCGCCACAUGCGCAACCCACAUUUAAGCAUACAACAUAUUUCGCCUUAUUCGCCGCAUGUGCAAAAUAUCAAUAACAACAAUAGCACAGCAAAGACCUCAUGCAACCCUUCAACAACUGCCGCACGGCAGAGACCUCGUGCAUCACAGUACCAACAGCUGCACGGCAGAGACCUCGGACAUCACAGUAUCAACAACCAUAAGAAAGAAACCUCGGGCAUCACAGUAUCAACAGCCGCACGGCAGAAGAAACCACGUGCAUCACAGUCUCAAGUACAACACAAUAAACAACAUAUAUAUACAGGAACAAAGCAAGGGAAUCAACUUAGGUAUUUCCAUUCACCAAAAGGCGGUACAACUAACUCACAAGGAAUAACCAUAACAGAGGGAUACUGAGCGCAAUAAGAACAACCCAACAAGGAAAAAAAUAAUAUGAAACAACGAUUCCAUAAUACUCAGUUCAACAACAAGGAAAUUAACCUGAAACGAAUAAUUACAAUUAUGAAAAUUAUUACCUAAACACAAGAUGUCUAACUUCUUUCCAAUUAAGACCGAUUAAUGCACGAGAGAUAGAAAUAAUAUUUUCCAAAUAAAGACAAGAAGUUAAGAAUGAUAGUGUGACUACAGAAGGGUAAAUGUCUUCAGUUAAACACGUAAAGGUCAAUUAGGCAUUAAGAAUAAACCAAGAAGAGCAAAUAUGUUCCAAGUAAGACAUGCAGAGGUGAAACUAAUAAUAGCGAACCCAAUUAUAUCGAGAACAACAUACUCAAUGAUGAUAAGUGUCUAAGAGCCAAAAAGGAUCAAUUGACCACAUAUAAAUCCGAGCACGCGCUCGUCACCUCGCAUUCAAGGAAUACAAUCAAUAUAGAAGACCCAAAUCCUAAGGGGAAGUCCCCUACAUAAGGUUAGGCAAGAUACUUACCUCAAAUCGCCUAAAUUCAACUAGCAACCAAAUUUUUGCCACGAGUUCUCGACUCCAAAUGGACCAAAUCUAUACAAUUUAAUCACACAUUAUAAUUACAUAUCAAGCAACUGAUUCUGUUAUUUAAUUCAAAUCUAAACGUGAAAUUAGGUAAGAUGACCACUACGCCCCUCAGGCCAACAUUUCGGAACUGGAUGAAUUAAACAUUUUCAUAACCCUCGUACUCUCACGAGUCUAACCAUAUAAAAAUCUUUCAAAUCGGAAGUCAAACACUCUCCCAAAACUCAAUAAUUCAGUCUAUGAAGUUCUAUUUAUUUUUCGUUAGAAAUCUGAAAUUAAAGAAUGAAAUUAAGAGGAGAUUCAUGGAAAUUGAUCUAAAUAGAGUGAGAAUUACUUACCCAAGCCUCCCAGGUGAAAAUCCCUUCAAAAAUCACCAAAAUCCGAGCUCUAGAAGUAAAAAUGUAAUAAAAAUGGUGAAACCCUCGAAAUGGAAUUUAAUCAGUCUGCCCAAAAAAUAGGUCAUUGCGAAAGCGGAAGGAGCAUCGCUAUUACGAAGAGGCAAAAAGUGAAGGUAUUCAGUUACUCAUCGCGAACGCAACAACGCGUCCACGAACGCGAAGAAGAAGAAUUUGAAGGCCCAAGGAUUGCCCUUCACAAAUGCGUGAAUGUCUACGUGAACGCGAAAGGUGAGACAACAUAACUAUGCAAAUACAGGAGGGUAGACUCGAACGCGGUCAAGUGAGAGGCAGAGCUUCGCGAACGCGAGGCUCUAAACGCGAACGCGUAGAAGGAUUUUCCAGGUGGCCAAGAUAAGCCUUCGUGAACGCGAAGAAGGAGUACAAGAAGCAGCAACAGCAGUUUAAAACACGGGGAAGUGACUCGUAGCCCAUUCGAAACACACCUGAGGCCCCCGGAACCCCAUCUAACCCCACAUACAAGUCAUCUAACUGAACACAGACUCGCUCGAAGUUCCUAAUAACAUAACACCACAUUAAUGAUGAAUCAACCCAAACAUCAAGCUUAUGAAAUUUUAAAUCUUCAAAUAUCGAAACCCAUGCUGAAACAUAUCAAUUCAACUCGAAAUGACGCCAAAUUUUGCAGACAAGUCCAAAAUGACAUAGCGGAGCUGCUCCAACUCUCUUAAUUGCAUUUCGAUCCCAAUAUCCCUAAAAUCAACUAUGGGUCAAACUUCUUCAUUUUCUAACUUUAACUUUUGCCGAAAUGCCUCAAUUCACUCUAUAGAGCUCCAAAUCUGAAUCCGGAGCGCUUAAGUCAAAAUCACCAUACAAAGCUUUUGAGAUCAUCCACGGCCUAUUUCGGGGUUGUUUACCCAAAAGUCCAAUUCCGGUCAACUUUUUACCGUUUUAACUUCCAAAAUAAGGUUUCUUCUCUAAAUUUGACUCUAAAUCAUCCGAAAGCCGAAUGCCACCAUGCACGCAAGUUGAUACACAUAUUUCGAAGAUAUUACAGACCUUAUGCCGCUUAACGGAUCUUAAUUUAUCAAAACGACCGGUCGGGUCGUUACAUCCUCCCCCUCUUAAAACCAGCGUUCGUCCUCGAACGUGCUAAGAAUCGACUCGAAGUCCUCAUGUCACUGGGUGCUCACUUCCAACAUACACCCGCGGGUGAUCCCACGUCACCCCAAUCCACAUAAACAUGAAGACACCAUCUCAACUGAAAUUUAGCCUUUCUAGCUAUACGACUAAGCUUACAAGCCAGAAUUCUUACCUUCCAUCUAUUUCCAAAAGACCCAAUCCUACAUUCAUACCUGAUAUCAAUCUCAACCAGCUACUUCAAUUCAUGCCAAACCAUGCAUGGUACAACCACCCCUAAUGAAAUAUCACACAUAGGCCCACAAUAAUAUUUUUGAUAGUGAUACAUGCCUGAGAUCAAAUCUGCACCGUCCUGAAGCCUCAUAUUUAAUUCAAACUCUUUUCAAACCUCCACAACACUUGCGAUGACAUAAUACCCAUGAUAACCAUAUAACAAAACAUCUGGAUAACCAACCUCAGCUAAUACCAACGUCACACCCCACUAGCUAAAUUCCAGAAGCAUAGAAUGAAAAAUGACAGAAUAUGGGAAGGGAAACACAUAAGGGAACUAUCAACAAGUCAAACUAGCACAAAUUCUACUAAAAACAAAUCUACAAAACAUAUAACAAGGAAGAGUGAAAACAUAUAAAAAACUCACAAGGAUCUUAUACUGAUGUAAACCUCACCGCAGUACACAGCCCGGUCUCAACAUAUCAAAACACCUGAAAUCACGAGGGUCCUGCCCUCAAUACUGAAUCACAAGUAAGACUCACAUCAACCCAUCCAGAAAGCCUCACUAGAUGAAUUCCAUCUACAAUUUACCACAUAGACUGGCUCCCAUACAGGUGGAGCAUAGAAAUCACAACUCGUUACCAAGAAUACUUAGAAGUGACAUUAAACCUACCAAAAUAGACAAGGAAUUUACUUCUAGCCUUAUAACUCUCGACAACAACUAGAAACAGACGAUAGACACGGCUAUCACUCAAAGAACCUCCCAAUAGGAUAAUCACAUAAAUAGUGUGCAAAUCAUGAAGCGCUCCCAUAAAUGGAACAACAAACAAGGAAAUCACCCCAAUAAGCAGACAUGUGAUGAACUACAGAUAGUGCCCUCUAUAACAAACUGAACUCGUACCUGAAUGACAUUAGCUGCGCACCAGCCUCAAACCUAAUAUGUGAAACACAUCAACGAGUAGGGACUCUCCCUCUUAGGCGCCCUCUACAUGCCUGAAUACCUCACUGUGACACAUCAAUCCGAAGUCUAGGACAAUCUCUCACCAUGUGGCUAGUAUCUAUACACUCAAAGCUCCCUCUCUACUGACGAGGUGGUGGGAACUGUGCGGUAAGGGUACUCCGAGAUCCUUGAACACCUGAAUCACCAUGCAUAGUCUGAACCAUGAACUAAAAUAGGUAACUCGCAAAACCUCUACCAUGACGCACCCUGCCUCCAAAAUAAGGACCAGUAUAUCUCACCGGUCUAUGAGGCCUCCUCGCCUCCUCGGGCUCCUUCUCCUAAUCUCGUCUGCUCUCUCUCUCUCUCUCUCUCUCUCUCUCUCUCUCUCUCUCUCUCUCUUUCAUGACUCUAUAUGUCCUCUCUCUCUCUCUCUAGCAUGCAUGCCCUCUAUCCUCCUAGCAAUGUUCACCAUUUGCUGAUACGGGAUAUCAAUGUCUAACACGUCAAACAUACUGGACCUAAUGUUGGGAAUAAGUCCCUCAAUGAACUGACAAACCUUCUCGAGAAUAGUAGAAAUCAGCACCGAGGCAUAUCUAGCUAAACUAGUGUAAUGGACAGCAUACUCUGAGACGGUCAUAGCACCUAGGUGCAAAUGAUCAAAAUCCGCGUGCCAUGCAUCUUUAAGACUCUGAGGAAAUAACUCUCUCUGUAGCAUAUCUAAAAACUGAGUCAAAGUCAGGGAAGCUUCCUCCUGUAGGCUGUCUAACUCAUAGGUGCGACACCAAUCAUAGGUUCCCCCUCGAAGCUGGAAAGUAGUGAAAGAAAGCGCGCUCGAUCCAAAGAUACCCAUAGUACGAAGAAUGCGAUAACACUAAUCAAGAAAUCCAGGGCAUUCUCCGAUGCUAAACAACUGAACUCAAGAGGCUUAUACCUCUUAAAUGUCUCAAGUCUCACCUCGGCGGCCGCUCGCACAGGUGCUCUCACUACCCAACGUGCGCGUCCUCCAACUCUACCCCGGCCUAGAACUCUGAAGGCUGCAGCAAGGGGUGCGGGUGCCUGAUCACCUCGUGUAGUACGUGUCCUCACCAUCUGUGAGAGAGUAUAAGAAAGAGGUUUAGGAUUGUGGAUGUCAAAAAUCUAGCACGACAGGGAAAUCAAAUGAAGUGAAAAUUUUCCUAACGGUUACAUAGCCUCUCCCAAAUAAGCAUAGAUGUCUCCGCACUGAUUCACGAGACUCUAAUAAACCGUCUAGUGAUUUUUGACUCCAUUAAACCUAGAGCUCUGAUACCAACUUGUCAUGACCACAGUUCGCCUCUGUGUACAUGCCGUGAUGGAACCUAGUCCCUACGACUAGGUAAGCCAAACAAUGCCGAAUAUAAAUCGAAUUGCGGAAGAAAAUAAUUAAAAACUGAACUAGCAAAGUAAUUAAGUGUUUAGAGUGUCGCUUGGCACAUACAAUAACAACUCUAGAAAACGAACAGAAAUUCGCAACACCCGAAAUAUCACAAAUCACAAGCUAAAGGAUAAAUAAGAGGCUCUGACUCAAGAAUAUCUAUACAAAGGAGAAAUACUGAAAGAGCUAUACUUAUUACAGAAAAGCUGGAAAGGGACUCUUCGGUCUGCGAACGUAGCAAAUAUACCUCGAAGUCUCUACCGAUAUGCCCCCUUCCAAGGCUGACAGAACCGAGUGGGGUACCUGUAUCUGCACAACAAAAAUGUGCAGAAGAGUAGCAUCAGCACAUCACUGCGGUUCCGAGUAAGUAUGAAGACUAACCUCGGUGGAGUAGUGACGAGGAACUGUCAAUACACCUACCGGUCAAUAAAAUGUAUAAUCAUAGGAAUAACACAAAUGAUAUAAUAAUAACUAAGGACUGCAUGAAGUAACAAAAAAUGCUACAAUUCACGAUAAGGGAAAGGAACAACAAGUAAUAACGAGAAACUAAUAAAUCAAGAUACAUAACGACGACAAUAACAAUCCAAAUCCUAAGGUCGCAACACUGCAAAGGAAAAGACAAGUCCAUAACUCAUAUCCUACAAUGAUGUUCACAUAAUGACUUAUUCACUAUUUCCACAACACCACGACAUCUCGAACAAACCAUAACUCACAAAUUCUGCAUCGAAAAUCUAACACUUGGCAUUCUAUGCCCCAUCAGUCUCUCAGUCAUGCUGACCACUAACCGGAUGACUACGGACACUCUCACAUAUAUAAUGGGUAACCGAGGGCAUACCCCCCUCCUUAGCAAAACUAGAGCAAUUUACCUAUAACGGAAAUAUUCAACUACGUGUAUAAUUGUGCAAGUGUUCUAACAAGAAUUCUACGAACUAGUAAACAUGAAUAGGAGAACGGACCACACGUACAAUGUUUCCUUAUGACUUUCGAGCGAUAAAACUCAUAUAGAUAAGCAACCCACAAUCACAAUAGUAAACAAAAUAGGAAUUCCUCCACAUGCCGUCACAAUUCAUUACAAUCAGCCCCUGACAUAGCCAAUAUUAUUUAGCUAUGUAUGCAAAUAAUAAUAUAAUAAACACCGCCUUAUUUUUCCAUAUGUGCAUUACAAUGUUCCCACCUUAUUCUGUCACAUGCGCAACCCACAUAUAAGCAUAUAACAUAUCCCACCUUAUUUGCAGCAUGUGCAAAAUAUCAAUAACAACAAUAGCACCGCAAAGACCCAACUCUUCAACAACAACCGCAUGGUAGAGACCUCGUGCAUCAGAGUACCAACCACCGCACGGUAGAGACCUCUGGCAUCACAGUAUCAACAAUCGCACGAUGAAAACCUUGGGCAUCACAGUAUCAACAAUCGCACGGCAGAAACCUCGUGUAUCACAAUCUCAAGUACAACACAAUAAAUAACAAUAUAUAUACAUGAACAAAGCAAGGGAAUCAACUCAAGUGUUUCCGUUCACCAAAAGUCGGUACAACUAACUCACAAGGAAUAACCGUAGCAUAGGGAUACUGAGCAUAAUAAGAACAACUCAACAAGGAAAAAAAUAAUAUGAAAUAACUAUUCCAUAAUACUCAUUUCAACAAUAAGGAAAUUAACCUAAAACGAAUAAUUAAUAUUAAGGAAAAUAUUACCUAAACACAGGAUAUCUAACUUCUUUCCAAUUAAGUCUGAUUAAUUGCACGAGAGAUAGAAAUUAUGUUUUCCAAAUAAAGACAAGUAGUUAAGAACAAUUGUGUGACUAUAGAAGGGUAAAUGUCUUCAGUGAAACACGUAAAGGUCAAUUAGGCAUCAAGAAUAAACCAAGAAGAGCAAAUAAGUUCCAAGUAAUACAUGUAGAUGCGAAACUAAUAACAGGGAACUCAAUUAUAUCGAGAAAAACUUCAUACUCAGUGAUGAUAAGGGUCUAAGAGCCUAAAAGGAUCAAUUUACCACAAAUAAAUCCGAGCACACACUCGUCACCUCGCAUGUAAGGAAUAGAAUCAACAUAGAAGACUCAAAUCCUAAGGGGAAGUCCCCUACAAAAGGUUAAGCAAGAUACUUAGCACUCGUCACCUCGCGUGCAAGGAAUACAAUCAACGUAGAAGACUCAAAUCCUAAGGGGAAGUCCCUCCCAAAAGAAUAGGCAAGAUACUUACCUCAAACCGGCUAAAAUCAACUAGCAACCACGUUCUUGCCAAGAGUUCUCGAUUCCAAAUGGCCCAAAUCUAUUCAAUUAAAUCACACAUUGUAAUUAACAUCUCAAACAACUGAUUCUAUUAUUUAAUUCAAAGCUAAAGUACGAAAUUAGGAAAUGACCAAAACGCCCCUCAAGCCAACAUCUCGGAACCUGAUGAAAUUAAUAUUUUCAGAACCCGCAUACUCUCACGAGUCUAACCAUAUAAAAAUACCUCAAAAUCGGAGGUAAAACACUCCUUCAAAACCCAAUAAUUCGAUCUAUAAAGUUCUACCCAUUUUUAUUAGAAAUCUGAAAUUAAAGGAUAAAAUUAAGAGGAGAUUCAUGGAAAUUGGUCUAAAUCGAGUGAAAAUUACAUACCCAAGUAGCCCAAGUGAAAAUCCCUUCAAUAAUUGCCAAAAACCGAGCUCUAGAAGUCAAAAUAUGAUAAAAAUGGUGAAACCCUUGAAAUUGUACUUAAUCUAUCUGUCCGGAAAAUUUGUCAUAGCGAACGCGAAAGGAUCAUCGCGUUCGCAAAGAGGGAAAAAGUGAAGGUAUUCAGUUACUAAUUGCAAACGCGACAAUGUGUCGCGAACGUGAAGAAGAAGAAUUUGAAGGCCCUAGGACCGCCCUUCGCAAACGCGUUCAGAUGCGCUCUUAAGUCCAAAAUCAUCAUACGAAGCUAUUGAGACCAUCCACGACCUAUUCUGGGGUUGUUUACUUCCAAUUCCGGUUAAUUUUUCACCGGUCUAACUUCCAAAAUAAGGUUUCUUCUCUAAAUUUGACUCUAAACCAUCCGAAAGCCAAAUUCCACCAUGCAUGCAAGUCGAUACUCAUAUUCCAAAGCUGGUCUAGACCUUAUGCCGAUGAACGGAGCUUAAUUUCUCAAAAUGACCGGUCGAGUCGUAACAAUAUAGGAAUUUUUUUCAUUAUAUUGGCAUAAUAACUUGACCUUGUUAUAAAAUAAGAGCAAUGCAUUAAAAUAUAAAUAAGAAGUGAUAGAAAGAAGGGAGAAGAGUUUCCUUCUUUCAGUUUGGUGUAUAUUUCCAUUGCAAUUACAUAGCCUUUUAAAGGCAUAAAAAGUAAAGAUGAUGGAGAUAAAAUAGGAUAUUUAAUCUUUAAGCUAUUUACAACAUGGGCAUCCAAUGUACAAACAAUUCAUAACACUCACCUUUGGAUGCCCAUGUAAGAUAAUGUGCCUCGUUAAAAAAACAAAAAAUUUGUAUGUACAUAGUUAUUUAUAAUAUGCAUUUCUUGCAGCCUUAUUAAAAACCUUACCAGGAAAAUCCCGUGGGACAAAACUUUGGUUAAGGAAAAGAGUGCAGCGUGUAGUUACUCCCCCUAAAGAAAAAUCACUUAAUGUCUCGAAGACGACGCAUUCCAAUCUUUUAUAUAAGCUUUUCAAAUAUUGAGGUUGGUAAUGCCUUAGUGAACAGAUCAGCUAAAAUAUCACUUGAAUGAACUUGUUGUACAUCUAUUUCACCAUUCUUGUGAAGAUCAUGAGUGAAAAAGAAUUUCGGUGAAAUGUGAUUUGUUCUAUCUCCUUUGAUAUAUCCUCCUUUUAAUUGAGCUAUGCAUGCAGCAUUGUCUUCACACAAUAUUGUUGGAAUAUUCUCUUUUGAAGAAAGACCACAUGUUUGUUGAAUGUGUUGAGUUAUCGAUCUCAACCAAACGCAUUCUCGACCUUCUUCAUGGAUGGUUAUUAUCUCUGCAUGAUUUGAAGAGGUAGAAACCAUAGUUUGUUUUGUCAAACUCCAUGAUAUGGUUGUACUACCACUUGUAAAUAAAUAGCCUGUCUGAGAUCGACCUUUGUGUGGAUCAAACAAAUAUCAUGCAUCUGCAUAGCCAAUCAAUGAUGGCUUGGAUUCAUUUGAAUAAAAUAAAACCAUAUCAAUGGUCCCUUGGAGGUAUCUGAAUAUAUGUUUAAUACCAUUCCAGUGUCUUUGUGNNNNNNNNNNNNNNNNNNNNNNNNNNNNNNNNNNNNNNNNNNNNNNNNNNNNNNNNNNNNNNNNNNNNNNNNNNNNNNNNNNUUGGCGAAGAACUAAAUCUUGCCAAUAAGCUUACUGAGAAAGCUAUAUCUGGUCGGGAAUUAUUGGCAAGAUACAUUAAUGCCCCAAUUGCACUAAGAUACGGUACUUCGGCACAAAGAAGCUCUACAUCAUUAUCAUGAGGUCGGAAUGGAUCUUUCUUUAUAUCAAGUGAUCGCACAACCAUCGGGGUAGUCAAUGGAUAUUGUUCGUCCAUAUAGAAUCGCUUCAAAGUAUUUUUGGUGUAAGUUGAUUGAUAGACAAAUAUUCCAUAUUUCAUAUACUCAAUUUGUAGACCAAGACAAAAUUUUGUCUCUCCGAGAUAUUUCAUUUCAAAUUCUUUCUUCAAACAGUCUACUAUUUUUGGAAGCUCCCUAGGAGUUCCAAUGAUAUUUAAAUCAUCAACAUCCACGCCGAUUAUAACAAAUUCAUAUUUAGACCUUUGUAUAAAGACACAAGGACAAAUUGGAUCAUUCAUAUACCCUUCUUUCAAUAGGUAUUCACUCAGGCGAUUGUACCACAUACGACCUGAUUGUUUCAAUCCGUAUGAAGAUUUCUGAAGCUUUAUUAAAUAAGUUUCUCGAAAACUUUUAUGCUUCUGGAACAUUAAUUCCCUGAGAAACUUUCAUAAAAAUUUCGUUGUCUAAUGAUCCAUACAAAUAGGUUGUAACAACAUCCAUUAGACACAUAUCAAGUUUUUCUUGUAAUGCCAUAUUUAUGAGAUACCUGCAGGUGAUAGCAUCCACUACAUGAGAAUAUGUCUCCAUAUAAUAAAUGCCAGGCCUUUGAAAAAUCCUUGUGCCACAAGUUACAGUUUAUAUCUAACGACUUCAUUUUUUAUCAUUUCGUUUUCCCACAAAACCCCAUUUAUACCCUACUGGCUUUAUGCCUUCAGGUGUUCGAACUAUGAAUCCGAAGACUUUGUUUUCCAAGUGAAGUUAACUCUUCCUGGAUAGCGUCUUUCUAUUUUGUUCAAUCAUUUUUGUGUCUACAUUCAUCGAUAGAUUUUGGUUCAAGAUCCUCAUCUUGUUGCAUUAUUUCAAUAGAAAAAUUAUAAGCAAAAAUAUUAUCGACAACAAUAUUAUUUCAGGUUCAUCUUUUUCCGGUUGAGACGUAACUUAUUGAUAUCUCUUCAUUCUCAUUAUUUUCAGGUACCUGGACCUCCCCUAAGGUCCUAUCAUUUUUUUACGUCUUGGGGCUCUUCUUGAGCCACUACCUCUGUGUUAUGUUCACUUUGAUCACUAGAUCCUUUUCUUCUUCGAGGAUUUUUAUCUUUAGAAUCGAUUGGUCUACCACGUUUCAAGCAUAGUUCAGACUCAUUUGCUUUAAUUAAUUGCAUGCCGGGAUAUCAACUCGAAUAUGAGCAUUAACAGCUGGAAUAUGUGAUUAGUCACCCUUGGUAGGUCAGUGAAUGCAUCUGGCAAUUGAUAUGCAAUAUUUUGUAAAUAAAUAAUCUUUUGAACCUCUUGUUCACAUUGAAUUAUUCGAGGAUCUAAAUGAGACAGUGAUAAUGCAUUCAAAUCUAUAUUAUUUUUUAGCUGCUUAUUUUCUCCCCCUAAUAUUGGAUAUACCGAUUCAUCAAAAUGGCAAUCAUAAAAUUUUGCCGUAAGUAAAUCUCCAGUCACCAGCUCUAGAUAUUUUGUAAUAGAAAGAGAUUUAUAUCCAACAUAUAUCCCCAACCUUCUUUGAGCACCCAUCUUUGUGCAUUGUGGUGGAGCAAUUGGCAAAUAUAUCACAUAGCCAAAGAUCCUAAGAUGGAAAAUAUUUGGCUCCUGACCAAAAGCCAAUUGCAAUGGGAAGACAUUAUGAUAACUCGUGGGCCUUACCCGCACAAGUGCUGCUCCGUACAAAAUAGUAUGACCCCAUGCUGAAAUGGAAAGCUUUAUUCGUAUAAGCAUUGGUCUAGCAAUUAAUUGGAGGCGUUUGGUCAAUGAUUCUGCAAUAUCAUUUUGCGUAUGAACAUGAGCAACCAGAUGCUCAAUUGUUAUUCCAAUUGAAAUACAAUAAUCAUUAAAGGUUUGGGAUGUAAACUCAUCAGCAUUAUCAAGAUGGAUUAUCUUAAUUGCAUAAUCUCAAAAUUGUGCUCUUUGUUAUGAAUAGUUUGUAAAUUGAUGCCCAUGUUGUAAAUAGCUUAAAGAUUAAAUCUCCUAUUUUAUGUCCAUCAUCUUUACUUUUAUGCCUAUAAAAGGCUAUAUAAUUGCAAUGGAAAUAUACACCAAAGUGAAAGAAGAAAACACUUGUCCCUUCUUUCUAUCUCUUCUUAUUUAUAUUUUAUUGCAUUGCUUUUAUUUUAUAACACGUUAUCAGCACGAAUCUUUAAUUUUAUUCUUAACUCCAGCUAAGUUGAGCCACAUUUUAUUAAGGUAUGUAUCAUUAUAAUCAUUUUAUUUGUACCAGUACAUAUCAUAUGCUUAAUUCUUACAACCUAAGUAUUUCUUUGCAAUUUUUGAUAAUUUGCAUCACUCGUGUUGUUGCUCCCGUUUCUGUCUGUUUCACAUUUUUAUUUAUCAUGUUAUUUUUCACACCUGAUACAAUACCACUAAAAAACUCACAUUUGUAUUUGUUGGUCUACAUGUAUGCAGUGUAGACAUUAUCUAGUCACUGCAAUUAAUAACACGUUAGUUGUCAACAUUAAUUUAAUAUUUAAAUUUCUAAUUAAAUUCAUGCACAUAACUAAUAAUUGCAUUUCCAUUUUUUUAAAUGUUCUCAUUGUGAGAAAUGAAUUGACAAGUAAUAGUUUUAUUGUUUAAUUACUUUAUAUCUAUUGGAACAUAUAAAUAAUAUUAGUCACGUUCAAUUCUAUUAACACAUAAAUAUCAAUAAUAUAAAGUGAAAUGAAUCAAGUAUUUAAUUUCUAUUAUAUGACAAGAAUAAAAUGAAAUAAUAGAUUGUUAACAUGAUAUAGCUAUAUUUUCAUUCCUUUUAGCUUAUUUUUUUUAAUUAACUAUUUAUUAUUAUAAUUAUUUCUCUAACUUAUUUAUCUUUUAUGAUAGUUUUCACUAUGUCAAAUUUAUCCAAACUUGAACUUAUGGCACUUGACAUCACCGAAAAGAACUAUUUAUUAUGGGACCUUGAUGCUCAAAUUCACUUUGACGCUAAAGGUCUUGAAAAUACAAUUAUACAAGGAAAUGAAGCAUCAUCAGGAUAAAGCGAAGGCCGUGAUUUUCUUUCGUCGUCAUUUACAUGAAGAGUUAAAAAUUGAAUAUUUAACCGUAAAAGAUCCACUUGAAUUAUGGAUUAAUUUGAAGGAUCAGUAUUACCGAAAGCUCGAUAUGAGUGGAUACAUUUGAGGUUGCAAUACUUUAAAACUGUAAGUGAGUAUAAUUCUCCUAUCUUUAAUUCUCUAUUAAAAUUAUGUGGAGACACUAUCACAAAUGAGGACUUAUUAGAAAAAAUAUUUUCUAUUUUUCAUGCUUCAAAUGUGGUGCAACAACAACAAUACCGUGAAAAACAUUUGAAGAAAUAUUCUGAGGUAAUCACAUGCCUACUUGUGGCAAAGAAGAAUAAUACUCUAUUAAUGAAAAAUCAUGAAGCUUGUCCCACUAGGUCAACUCCAUUUCAGAAAGUGAAUGUUAUAGAAACAUAUGAUAAGUUUGAAAGAAAACAAAAUAAUUACCGUGGUCGUGGACAUGGUCGUAAACGUGGACGUGGCAGGGGGCGAAAAAAUUAUCGUCAUUAUGGUGAAAAUAAAUUUGAGAAAAAUAAGGGUUCUCAAAUUAAUCAUUCAAAUGGUAAAACUAGUAUGUGCCACCAAUGUGGUAUGAGAGGUCACUGGGCACGCAUUAGUCGUACGCCAGAACAUUUUGUAGAACUUUAUCAAGUCUCCCUCAAGAAAAAAGAAAAUAAUUUGGAGGCACACUUGACCUUUCUAACUAAUAAUGAUGAAGCAGAUCCCUCUCUUGUAUAUAAAGAUGAUGAUUUUGAAGGCCUAACAAAUAUUACUCAUUUAGAAGUUGGAGACUUCUAUGAGGAUAUUGACUGAAAAACUAAUCAUCUUAUUGGGGAGUGAAGCAAUAAAAUUUGUUAUUUUUAUGUUUGCAACUAGCUUAUUUUUCUUGAGUGUAUUUUCCUAUUGUAUCAUGUGUUGCUAGUUUCUACAUUCCUAAUGUAUUUCUUAAUACAUUUUUUUGCUGCUUGUAUUUCAUAUUUCUUAUGAUAUAUUAUUUGUCUUUUUUUUAUGGAGAAUAUAAAAAUUCCCCAGUCUUCAAUUGGACUCAAGAUUAAUAAAGAUGAUAUAUGUCUUCUGGAUAGUGCUACAACACACACUAUUUUAAAAGAUAAGAGAUAUUUAUCUUAUUUGGUAAUGAAAGAAACGAAUGUUAAUACAAUAUCCGGUAGUACAAGAUUAAUUGAAGGUUCUGGAAGAGCCAGUUUAUUAUUACAAGGAGGAACAAAUUUGGCUAUUGACAAAGCACUAUAUUGUAGUAAAUAUCAAAGAAACUUAUUAAGUUUCAAAUAUAUUCACCAAAAUAGCUAUCAUAUUGAGACAACAAAGAAAAGAUUAAAUAUCUUUAUAUUACUACAAUAAUUUCCGGUAAGAAAUAUGUGCUUGAAAUAUUACCUGUUCUUUCCUCCGGCUUAUGCUACACAAGUAUUAGCAGGAUUGAAACACAUGUCGUAGUAAACGACAAGUUUACUAAUCAAGAUAAUUUUAUUAUUUGGCAUGACCAGUUGGGCCUCCGGGGUUCUAAUAUGAUGAGUAAAAUAAUUGAAAAUUCACAUGGACAUGCAAUGAAGAAUUAGAAGAUUCUUCAAUUUAAGGAAUUCUCUUGUGCUGCAUGUUCUCAAGGAAAAUUAAUUAUUAGACCAUCAACUAUUAAAGUUAUGAUGGAAUCCCCUGCAUUUCUGGAACAUAUACAGGGUGAUAUAUGUGGGCUCAUUCACCCUCCAUAUGGACCAUUCAAAUAUUAUAUGGUUUUGGUAGAUCCAUCUACAAGAUGGCCAUAAAUACAGGGUGAUAUAUGUGGGCCCAUUCACCCUCCAUAUGGACCAUUCAAAUAUUAUAUGAUUUUGGUAGAUGCAUCUACAAGAUGGUCACAUGUGUGCUUACUAUCAACUCAAAAUAUGGCAUUUGAAAGAUUGUUGACUCAAAUAAUAAAGCUAAGAGCACAAUUUCAAGAUUAUGCAAUUAAAACAAUUCAUCUUGAUAAUGCUGGUGAGUUUACAUCCCCAAGCCUUUAAUGAUUAUUGUAUUUCAAUCGGAAUAACAAUUGAGCAUCUGGUUGCUCAUGUUCAUAAGCAAAAUGGUCUAGCAGAAUCAUUGAUCAAACGCCUACAAUUAAUUGCUAGACAAAUACUUAUGAUAACACAACAACCCAUUUCAGCAUGGGGUCAUGCUAUAUUACACGCAACAACACUUGUGCAGAUAAGGCCCACGAGUAAUCAUAAAGUCUCUCCAUUGCAAAUGACUUUUGGUCAGGAGCCAAAUAUUUCUCAUCUUAGGAUCUUUGGAUGUGCGAUAUAUGUUCCAAUUUCUCCACCACAAUGCACAAAGAUGGGUCCUCAAAGAAGGUUGGGAAUAUAUAUUGGAUAUGAAUCUCCUUCUAUUAUAAAAUAUCUAGAGCAGAUGACUGGAGAUUUAUUUACGGCAAGAUUUUCUCAUUGCCCUUCUAAUGAAUCAGUAUAUCCAACAUUAGGGGGAGAAAAUAAGCAGCUAAAAAAGAAUAUAGAUUGGAAUGCGCUAUCACUGUCUCAUUUAGAUCCUCAAACAAAUCAAUGUGAACAAGAUGUUCAAAAGAUUAUUCAUUUAUAAAAUAUUGCAAAUCGAUUGUCAGAUGCAUUAACUGACCUACCAAGGGCGACUAAGUCACAUAUUCCAGCUGUUAAUGCUCUAAUUUGAGUUGAUAUCCCGGCAGGAUAAUUAAUUAAAGAAAAUGAGUCUAAACCAUGCUUGAAACGUGGUAGACUAAUCAGUUAUAAAGGUAAAAAUCCCCGAAGAAGAAAAAGAGCAAGUGAUCAAAGUGAAUAUAACAUAGUGGUAGUGGCUCAAGAUGAGUCCCAAGACGUAAAAAAAAUUAUAAGACCUUAGGAGAGGUCCAGAUAGCUGAAAAUAAAGAGAAUGAAGAGAUAUCAAUAAGUUACGUCUCAACUGGGAAAAGAUGGAACCGAUGUGGAUAUCUUUUCUUAUAAUGUUGUUGUUGAAAUAAUGCAACAAGAUGUGGAUCUUGAACCAAAAUCUAUCGAUGAAUGUAGACAGAGAAAUGAUAGGCCAAAAUGGAAAGACGCUAUCCAAGCAAAGUUAACUUCACUUGGAAAAAACAUGAAGUCUUCGGACCCAUAGUUUGAACACUUGAAGGCAUAAAGCCAGUAGGGUAUAAAUGGGGUUUUAUGCGAAAACGAAAUGAUAAAAUGAAAUCGUUAGAUAUGAAGUGAGACAUAUGGCAUAAGGAUUUUUGCAAAGGUCUAGCAUUGAUUAUUGGAGACAUAUUCUCUUGUAGUGGAUGCUAUCACCUUCAGGUAUCUCAUAAAUAUGACAGUUCAAGAAAACCUUUAUAUGCGUCUAAUGGAUAUUUUUAUAGCCUAUUUGUAUGGAAUAUUAGGCAGCGAAAGUUUUGUGAAAGUACCUCAAGGAUUUAAAGUGCCAGAAGCAUAUAAAAGUUUUCCAGAAGCUUAUUCAAUAAAGCUUCAGAAAUCUUUAUACGAAUUGAAACAAUCAGGUCGUAUGUGGUACAAUCGCCUGAGCGAAUCUCUAUUGAAAGAAGGGUAUAAAAAUGAUCUAAUUUUUCCUUGUGUGUUUAUAAAAAGGUUUGGAUAUUAAUUUGUUAUAAUAUCCAUGUAUAUUGAUGAUUUAAAUAUCAUUGGAACUCUUGGGGAGCUUCCAAAAACAGUAGAUUGUUUGAAGAAAGAAUUUCAAAUGAAAGAUCUUGGAGAGACAAAAUUUUGUCCUGGACUACAAAUUGAGUAUAUGAAAGAUGGAAUAUUUGUCCAUCAAUCAACAUACACCAAAAAGAUUUUAAAGCGAUUCUAUCUGAAUAAAGCACAUCCAUUGACUACCCCGAUGGUUGUGAGAUCACUUGAUAUAAAGAAAUAUCAAUUAGGACCUCAUGAAAAUGAUGAAGAUCUUCUUGGUGCAGAACUAUGGUUGGGGCAUUAAUAUUUCUUGCCAAUAAUUCCCGACCAGAUAUAGCUUUCUCAGUAAGCUUAUUGGUAAGAUUAGUUCUUCGCCAAUACAAAGGCAUUGAGAUAGUAUUAAACAUAUAUUCAGAUACCUCCAAGGGACCACUGAUAUUGUUUAUUUUAUUCAAAUGCAUCCAAGCCAUUAUUAAUUGGUUAAGCAGAUGCAGAAUAUUUGUCUGAUACACACAAAGGUCGAUCUCAGACAUAUUAUUUAUUUACAACUGUAGGUACAACCAUAUCAUGGCGUUUGACAAAAUAAACUAUGGUUUCUACUUUUUCAAAUCAUGCGGAGAUAAUAGCCAUUCAUGAAGCAAGUCGAGAAUGUGUUUGGUUGAGAUCGAUAACUCAACACAUUCAGCAAACAUGUGGUCUUUCUUCAAAAGAGAAUAUUCCAACAAUAUUGUAUGAAGACAAUGUUGUGUACAUAACUUAAUAUAAAGGAGGAAAUAUCAAAGGAGACAGAACAAAGCACAUUUCACCGAAAAUCUUUUUCACUCAUGAUCUUCAGAAGAAUGGUGAAAUAGAUGUACAAGAAAUUCGUUCAAGUGAUAAUUUAGCUGAUCUGUUCACUAAGGCAUUACCAACCUCAAUAUUUGAAAAGCUGAUAUAUAUAAGUUUGGAAUGCGUCAUCUUCCCGACAUUAAGUGAUUUUUCUUUAGAGGGAGUAACUACAGGCUGCACUCUUUUCUUUAACCAAGGUUUUGUCCCACUGGGUUUUCCUGAUGAGAUUUUUAAUGAGGCAGCAAACAAUGCAUAUUAUAAAUAACAAUGUACAGCUCAAUUUUUAUUUUUUUUUAAUGAGGCAAGUUAUCUUACAUGGACAUCCAAAAGGGAGUGUUAUGAAUAGUUUGUACAAUGGAUGCUACUUUGGAUGCCAAUGUUGUAAAUAGCUUAAAGAUUAAAUCUCCUAUUUUAUGUCCAUCAUAUUUACCUUUUAUGCCUAUAAAAGGCUAUGUAAUUGUAAUGGAAAUAUAUACACCAAAGUGAAAGAAAAAAACUCUUCACCCUUGUUUUUAUCUCUUCUUAUUUAUGUUUUACUGCAUUGCUUUUAUUUUAAAACACUCUUAGCUUUAUUAUAUGAGCCAACAAUCUCGCAAAUACCAUUGUCACGACCCAGACCCAGUUAUGAUGGCGCCCGGUACACUACUAGGAAAGCCCGACCUUGUUACAAUAUUUAUCAUUACUUAAGAAGAUUUCAAAUAACAACACAGGAAAAAAUACUAGCCAUUAAGUCAAGAUCUAGAGGAUACUGAUAAAAACGUGGAAGUUUAACAAAAUACAUAAUAUCGUCCAACACGGACCCGGUGUCGCGGACAUGAGCCUCUAAGUGCAGAGUUUCAUCCUAAUACAUAGUCUGUCUAAAAUCUAAUAAUGCUUAAAUAAAGGAUAGAGAUAGAGGGGAGAGAUCUAAGGCUGCGAACGCCAUGCAGCUACCUCGAUACUUCUAGAAAAUGCCUCAUCACAGCUGAUGAAAGCUCAUCCAGCCUGGGUAUGACCUGGAUCUGCACGGAAGGUGCAGGGAGUAAAGUGACUACUGCGACCCAGUGAGUAAUAAACAUAAAUACAGUCUGAAAGUAAGAAAUCGCAGAAAAUGCGCAAAGCAACCUAUAUCUAACAGUUGAGAUCAAUAUCGGUGUAAACGGUAAAACAAUAAUACAAUUAAGGAAAUAAUGCAUGAAAAGAUGCAACACAUUGCGGCGUGCAGCCCACUCCACUUAUUUAUCAUCGAUGGCGCUCACUGGGGGUGUGUGGAGACUCGGAGGGGCUCUUGCAGCCCAAGCGCAAUAUUAGCCAUCUUGUGGCAUCAAAUAGGUUCUCGACCUCAAUAUCGAUAUAACACUGUUGCGCCGUGCAGCCCAAUCCAAAUCAUAGAAAAAAUAUCUUCACUAUCGGGUCCUCAUCCCAUCUCAGUCAAAUAAAAUCCAUAGCCGCUCGGGCAUAACAUACUGUAGGGAUCUCAGCCCUCAUAUUCAUUUCAUUAUGAUUCAUGUUCGAAAAUACAUUUCUUAUCAUAUUUUAAUAGUUGAAAACAUGACUGAGAGUAUAGUUUAUCCAAACAAGUGAGGAAAACAAAUAAAGAUCCCCUAAGGAUUUUACAGGUCGGCACAAGGUCCCAAACAUGGCAUUAAGCCCAUUUCACAAUAAUAAAUUAUGCAUCUCAAUCGCCAAUAUAGUAGAAAUAACACAUGGGAUGGACGAAGUAACAAUCCCCAAUAGUUAAUGACCCCGCACUCGUCAUGAAAUGCAUGUCACGCAUCAAUAUAGUGUUACGAUGUGAGUUCGCUAUUUCAAACCCUCUGAACAGCAUUUACAUCUAUUACUCAGCUCUAUCCGGCCAAAGACUAGCUCGCAAUGCCCUUUCUUCUCGAAUCGAUCUCCUCGCAAGUCGAAUGUGGCCAAAACCAUAACGAAUACAUUAUGAUAGGCUAAGGGAACAUAACCUAAUCGAAAAGACUCGAAAAAUAUCAAAAUUCACGGAAUUUGCAAAACUCGAGCCCCAGGCCGACUUCUCGAAAGUCAGAAAAUUUUACACUAAAACAUUCCUUAUCUUGCCACGAGUCUAUACAUGUAAAGAUUAUCAGAAUCGGAGCCCAUUUGACCCCUCAAAUCCCUAUUUUUCCUUAUCUUAAGUUCAAGCUCUAACCCCCAUUUUUUUACCUCAAAUUGUUUGAUUUUUCACCCUUAAUUCAUGUGAUAAUACCUUAGAUUGAUGUUUUAGGCACAGAAUUUCUUAGCUCAAUGAAGUACCUUGAUUCUCACUCCAAAGUCGCACCAAAGCUCCCAAGUUCGAAGGGAAAAUGUUAAGUUCUUUCAAAAAUUCGCGAAGGUUAAAUUAGAUGCUUCUGCCCUGACCUUUUCCGCUUCAGCGACCACAGAACUGCCUUUGCGAUUACCCUCUUAUGGUCUCUUUCCCUUUUUGCGGACUUUCAGUUAAGGGGCAUGACCGCUUCUGCGGUCCAAAACUCGUACCCGUGAUACCGCUCCUUCGAUCAAGGCUUCCGCUUCUGCGGAACCAGCCCUAAGCUCGAAUUCCGCUUCUGCACCUACCAAUCCACUUCCAGAAUACCGCACCCGCGGUCCCAAAUCGCAGGUUCAAAAACACUAGAUACCAGCAACCUUCAGCAACACACAAGUCCAAUUUUCGUCCUGUUGGCCAUCCAAAACCACCCCGAGGCCCCUGAGACCUCGACCAAAAACAUUGAUAUGCUCAAAUACCUUAACCAAACUUUUUCGAACCAUCAAAACACUAUAGUUAACAUAAAAAUCAUCAAAUUUCAUCAAAUCAAAGCCUAAGUUCAACCAAAACUUCUUAGACUUGCAUUCGAUCAAAAACCCGACCUAAACACCUCCAAAUCAACUGAAAUUUUGCACACACAUCCCAAAUCACCUAACGAAGCUAUUGAAACUCUCAAAAUUGCAUUCCAACCUUCGGAUCAAAAUCUGACAUAUCAAUCGGAUAUCGCCAAAAUGCUAACUUCUCCAAUUCAAGCCUAUUUCUAUGUCGGGCCUCCAAUUUCAAUUCCGAUCACACUCUAAGUCACAAAUCAUUUCCCAAAGCUAACUGAAUCACGAAUAUCACAUCAGAGCCCUCUAACUCACAAGUCAACCAUCUGGUUGACUUUUCCAAAUCAAAGCUUCCUUAAAAAGACUAAGUGUCUCAUUUCUUACCAAACUCAAUCUGAAUCAACUCAAACUCCCCAAACACAGAUAAUGAAACAUGAAGAAGCAUAAAAUGGGAAAACGGGACAGUAACACAUGAGACGACAGGUCGGGUCGUCACAUCCUCCCCAAUUAAAACAAAUGCUUGUCCUCGAGCUAGCCAAGAAACAUACCUAAAGUCUCAAAUAGGUGAGGGUAUCUGCUCUGCAUCUCCUGUUUGGUCUCCCAAGUAGCCUCCUCCAUGGUCCAACCUCUCCAAUGUACCUUCACCGAAGCUAUAUCCUUUGAUCUCAACUUCCGAACCUAACAACCUAAAAUAGCCACUGGCUCCACAUCAUAAGUCAUAUCAUCAUCCAACUGAACCGUGCUGAAGUCCAAAUCAUGAGACGGGUCCCCAACAUACUUCCAGAGCAUAGACACAUGAAAUACCGGAUGCACACAUGAUAAGCUAGGUGGCAAAGCAAGCUUGUAAGCCACCUCUCUAAUCCUCUAUGCACCUCAAAAGUUCCGAUAAACAGCAGUCUCACCUUCUCUUUCUUCCCAAACCUCAUAACCCCCCUUCAUGGGCGAAACCUUCAGUAAAACCUUUUCAACCUCCAUAUAAGACACAUCUCGGACCUUCCGGUCCGCAUAACUCUUCUGACGCUACUGAGCUGUGCGAAGUCUCUCCUGAAUCACAUUCACUUUCUCUAAGGCAUCCUGGACCAAAUCUAUCCCCAGCAACCUAGCCUCGCCGAGAUCAAACCAUCCGACAAGAGAUCUACACCGUGUCCCAUAUAAGGCCUCAUAUGGCUCCAUCUGAAUGCUGGUCUAAUAACUAGUGUUGUAGGAGAACUCUGCAAGCGGCAGAAACUCAUCCCAAGAACCUCCGAAAUCAAUCACGCAUGCACGUAAAAUGUCCUCUAACAUGUGAAUGGUACGCUAGGAUUGUCCGUCCGUCUGAGGAUGAAACAAUGUGCUCAGCUCCACCUGUGUACCCAACUCUCGCUCAAAAGUCCUCCAACACUGAGAAGUAAACUGAGUACCCCUAUAUGAGAUAAUAGAAAUUGGGACCCCAUGUAAUCGAAUAAUAUCCCGAAUGAAGAUCCGCAGCCGCUCUAAAGAAUAAGUCAUAUAAAUGGGAAUGAAGUGCGCGAACUUGGUCAGCCGAUCCACAAUUACGCAAAUCAAAUCAAACUUCUUCGAGGUCCGAGGAAGACCACUCACAAAGUAUAGAGUGACUCUCUCCCACUUCCACUCGAGAAGUUCUAUCCGCUGAAUUAGAUCACCAGGUCUCUGAUGCUCGUAUUUCACCUGAUAUCAAUUGAGACACAGAGCUACAUAACCCACAAUGUCUUUCUUCAUUCUCCUCCACCGGUAGUGUUGUCUCAAGUCCUGAUACAUCUUCGUGGCACCCGGAUAGAUGGAAUACCGCAAACUGUGGGCCUCCUCAAGAAUAAAAUAUCAAAGCCCAUCCACAUUGGGCACACAAAUUUGGCUCUGCAUCCUCAACACGCCAUUAUCACCUAUAGUCAAAUCUCUAGCAUCUCCGUGCUGAACUCUGUCCUUAAGGACAAGCAAAUGCGGAUCAUCAUACUAGCACUCUCUGAUGCGAUCAUAUAAAUAAGACCGAUAAACCACGCAAGCCAAUACCCGACUGGGCUCUGAAAUGUCUAAUAAAUUACAAACCGAUUGGCCAAAACCUGAACAUCAACUGCAAAGGGUCUUUCCCCAACUAGAAUAUACGCCAAACUUCACAUACUUACUGCCUUUCGGUUCAAGGCAUCGGCCACUACAUUGGCCUUUACCGGAUGAUACCGAAUAGUAAUCUCAUAAUCUUUUAGUAACUCAAGCCACCUCCGCUGCCUCAAAGUAAGAUCCUUUUGCUUGAAAAAAUGCUGAAGACUGUGAUGAUCAGUGAAUACCUCAGAAGAUACGCCAUAUAAGUAGUGCCUCCAAAUCUUCAAAGCAUGAACUAUCGCAGCCAACUCUAAGUCAUGAAUAGGUUAGUUCUUCUCAUGGGGCUUCAACUGUCGAGAAGCAUAAGCAAUCACUCUACCAUCCUGCAUCAACACACAACCGGUCCCGAAUCUCAAAGUAACACAAUAAAUUGUGUAAGAACAUGAAGUUCAUGGCAAGACCAAUACUGGAGCUAUGGUCAAAGAUCUCUUGAGCUUCUGAAAGCUCUCCUCAUAUUCAUCCGGCCAUACAAAUGGAGCACUCUUCUGUGUCAACUUGGUCAAGGGCAUGGCAUUAGAUGAGAAACCCUGAACGAACCGGUGAUAAUAACCCGCCAAUCCGAGGAAACUACGAAUCUCUGUGGCUAAGGACGAUCUAGGACAACUUUGAACCUCCUCUAUCUUCUUUGGAUCCACCUAAAUACCAUCGCUUGACACCACGUGCCCCGGGAAAGCCACUGACCCAAGCCAAAACUCACACUUGGAGAACUUUGCAUAAAGCUUCUCCUCCCCCAAUUUCUUCAAUACCACUCGCAAAUGCUCUACGUGCUCCUCCUGACUACAUGAGUAUACCAUAAUAUCAACAAUGAAUACAAUGACAAACGAAUCCAGAUACGGCUAAAAUACACUAGUCAUCAGAUGUAUGAAUGCUGCUGGGUCAUUGGUCAGCCCAAAAGACAUAACAAGAAACUCAUAGUGACCAUAUCUCGUCCUAAAAGUAUUCUUAAGAAUAUCCAAAUCCUUGAUCUUCAACUGGUAAGAACCCGAACUAAGAUCAAUCUUAGAAAACACCCUCGCUCCCUGAAGAUAAUUGAAUAAACCAUCAAUACGACGUAGGGAAUACUUGUUCUUCACUGUCACUUUGUUCAACUGCCUGUAGUCAAAGCACAUUCUCAUUGUGCCAUCCUUCUUCUUUACAAAUAAACCAGGUGAACCCUACGGUGACACACUCAGUCGAAUAAACCCCUUUUCUAGGAGUUCCUGAAGUUUCUCUUUUAAUUCUUUUAACUCUGCUGGUGCCAUCCGAUACGGCAUAAUGGAAAUGGGCUUGGUUCCCGUCACCAAGUCAAUACCAAAAUCAAUAUCCCUGUCCGGUGGCAUACCCGACAGGUCUGUAGGAAAUAUAUUAGGAAAAUCCCUCAUAACGAGUACAGAAUAAAUGCUAGGAGUCUCAGCUCCAACAUCUUGCACAAAGGCAAAUAUGAGAGACAACCCUUCCCAACCAUACGCUGAGCUUUCAAGAAGGAAAUAACUUUACUAGGAACAUAGUCAGUCAUACCAUGCCACUCGAUCCUCGAAACACCCGGCAUAGCCAAGGUAACUGUCUUUGCAAGAUAGUCUAAAAUAGCAUGACACGGAGACAACCAAUCCAUGCCCAGAAUAACAUUGAAGUCUACCAUGCUCAAAAGAAAUAAAUCAACUCGGGUCACCUAACCACCACUAGUAAUAAGACAGGACCGAUACACAUGGUCCGCAAUAAUAGUAUCGCCCACCGGGAUAGAACGUGCACAGGUAAAUCAAAAAACCCUCAGGUCAUACCCAAAUGGUGAGAAAAAUAUGAUGACACAUAAGAAUAGGUAGAACCGGGAUCAAAUAAGAUAGAGGAAUCUCUAUGGCAGCCUGAAAUAAUACCUAUGAUAACAGUAUCUGAUGUAAGGGCAUUUGUCCUGCCUGGGAUAGCGUAAAAUCGAGCCUGGCCGCCUCCACCUCUGAGGAAACCCCUAGCUGCUUGGCCUCCACCCCUAUCUGACUAGGCAGGUGCUGAAUAAAUCGGAGCAGAAGACGAGGGCUCAUCCCUCUACUGAGGCUGACCACCACGGCGUCAAGGACACUGCCUCCUCAUAUGGCCAAACUCGCCGCACUCGUAGCAACUACCAGGUGCUGGAGAAGGGGACUGAAGGGAACCCCUCGCACCUGAAUAACCCGCCGAUGAGCUCUGCGGAGAAGAACCCUGAGCUGAAGGGGCAUAUGAUGAGCUCUGAGCUGGGAAGGCACUAAGUGCAGAUUGGCCCUGCUGGAACCCCUUGUGACCAUGGUCUGAAGAUGCCCCACGAUACUCGGGACGAGCUGACUGAUGAGGCUUGAAAGAAUGACCUCUACUCUGCUGAACCUGGCCCCUAGACGGAGCACUACUGAAACUACCCGAUCCUUGAGGCCUCUUGGCCACUCUCUCCUUUCUCUCCUGACGGCGAGCCGUCUCAAUAUCACGAGCAAUAUCAACUGCAUCCUCGAAGGUAUGACUCAGAAUCCUCUCUCGACUCAUUAGAAUACGGAUGGGAUAGACCAGUCCGUCCACAAACCUCCUAAUCAUCUCCUGAUCAGUCAGGACCAUCCAGGGAGCAUAGAUAGCCAACUCCAAAAAUCUCACCUCAUACUGAGACAUAGUCAUAUCUCCCUAACGAAGCCACUCAAACUGUCUACGUAGCUCCUCCCUCUGAGACUGCGGUACCCACUUCUCCAGGAAGAGAGUGGAGAACUCCUGCCAUGACAAAGGCACCGCACCCACCGGCCUACGCCGCUCAUAUGCCUCCCACCAACUGAAGGCUGCUCCAGAGAACUAAAAGUUAGUAAAUGAUACACCACUCGACUCCAAGAUCUGUGUUGUCUGAAGCAUACGUCGACACUUGUCGAGAAAACCCUGGGGAUCCUCGCCCAGAACACCUCUGAAAGUAGCAGGCGAGUGUCUACUGAACCUCUCAAGACGAUGCUACUCAUCGUCCAGCAUAGUUGGAACCACAUCAUCCUGAACCGGGGCAACCGGCUAAAUUGGGUCAACCUACUGAGUCGGUGGUGCCUCUGGUGUCUGCAAAUCCUGCACUACCUACUCAGGUGUGCGAGUAGCGGGGGUCUGAUUGCCUCCCCCAGCCUACAAAGUAGCUGCUGCAGUAGUGGCUGAGACUGCCUGAGCCAGGCCAGUGCAAGUCGAUAGAAUCUGAGCUAGGGCCUCCUGAAGACCCGAUAUCACAAUAGGCAAAAAUGGUGCCUGAACAGGUGUUGCUAGAGUCUCUACAGCUGGAACCUGAUCCUGAGUCGGGGCAACUGGUGGGUGAACAAGUGCUGCUUCUGGAGCCUCUCAAGGAUAAAUCCAAAUGUCUCUGCACCGAUCCGCGAGACUCUACUAAACCGGCUCAAAACGCGCGAGACCAAGUAACCUAGGCUCGAAAACCAACUUGUCACAACCUCGACCCAAUCAUGAUGGCGCCCAGUACACUACUAGGCAAGUCCGACCUUGUUAAAAUAUUUCCCAUAACUUAAGUAGAUUUCAAAUAACAACACGGGGAGAAAUACUAGCCGUUAAGUCAAGAUCUAGAGGAUACUGAUAAAAAUGAAGAAGUUUAACAAAAUACAUAAUAUCGUCCAACAUGGACCCGGUAUCGCGAACAUGAGCCUCUAAAUAUAGAGUUUCACCCUACUACAUAGUCAAUCUAAAAGCUGAUAAUGCUUAAAUAAAGGAUAGAGAUAUAGGGGAGAGAUCUAAGGUUGCGAACGUCAUGCAGCUACCUCGAUACUCCCAAAGAAUGACUCUGCAUAGCUUAUCAAAGAUCACUCAGCCUGGGUAUGACCUGGAUCUGCACGCAAGGUGCAGGGAGUAAAGUGAGUACUCUGACCUAAUGAGUAAUAAAAAUAAAUACAGUCUGAAAGCAAGAAAUCACAGAAAAUGCACAAAGCAACCUAUAACUAACAGUUCAGAUCAAUAUCAGUGUAAAAACUUAAAACAAUAAUACAGUUAAGGAAAUAACGCACGAAAAGAUGAAACACAUAUAACGGUACACUCUAGUACCCGCUGCGGCGUGCAGCCCGCUCCACUUAUUUAUCAUCGACGACGCUCACUUGGGGGGUGUACAGACUCCGGAUAAGCUCCUACAGCCCAAACGCAAUAUCAGCCAUCUCGUGGCAUCAAAUAGGAUCUCGGCUUCAAUAUCGAUAUAACACUGUUGCGGCGCGCAGCCCGAUUCAAAUCAUAGGAAAAGCAUCCCCACUAUCGGGUCCUCAGCCCAUCUCAGUCAAAUAAAAUCCACAACCGCUCGAGAAUAUCAUACUGUAUGGGUUUCAGCCCUCAUAUUUCUUUCAUUAUGAUUCAUGUUCGAAAAUACAGUUCUUAUCAUAUUUUUAAUUGUUGAAAACAUGACCGAGAGUAUAGUUUAUGCAAACAAGUGAGGAAAACAAAUAAAGAUCCCUUAAGGAUUUUACAAGUCGUCACAAGCCCCAAACAUGGCAAUAAUCCCAAUUCACAGUAAUAAAUAAAGUAUGCGUCUGAAUCGCCAAUAUAGUAGAAAUAACACUCCGGGUGGACCAAGUAACAAUUCCCAAUAGUCAACGACCCCGCACUCAUCAUGGAAUGUGUGUCACGCCUCAAUAUAGUGUUACAAUGUGAAAAUCUAGGGUUUCAAACCCUCAGAACAACAUUUACAUCUAUUACUCACCUAUUGCCGGCCAAAGACUAGCUCGUAAUGCCCUUUCCUCUCGAAUCGACCUCCUCGCGCGUCGAAUCUGGCCAAAACCAUAACAAAACAUUAUGAGAGGCUAAUAGAACAUAACCCAAUCGAAAAGACUCGAAAAACAUCAAAAUUCACGGAAUUUGCAAGACCCGAGCCCCGGGCCCACUUCUCGAAAGACAAAACUUUUACACCAAACGUUCUUUGUCUCGCCACAAUUCAAUACAUUUAAAGUUUAUCAGAAUCGGAGCCCAUUUGACCCCUCAAAUCCCUAUAUUUCCUUCUCUUAAGUUCAAGCUCUAACCUCCAUUUUCGACCUCAUUUCUUUGAUUUUUCACGCUUAAUUCAUAUGAUAAUACCAUAGAUUAGUGUUUUAGGCUCAUAAUUUCUUAUCCUCAUAGAAGGUUAAAUUAGAUGCUUCUGCCCAAACCUUUUUCGCUUCUGCGUCCGCAGAACCGCUUCUGCGGUUAUCGCUCAUGCGGUUUCUUUUUGCUUCUGUGGACUUUCACUUAAGGGGCAUGACCGCUUCUGCGGUCCAAAACUCGCACCCGCGAUACCACUCCUUCAGUCAAGGCUUUUGCUUCUGCAGAACCAGCCCUGAGCUCGAAUUCUGCUUCUGUGCCUACCCAUCCGCUUCCGCGAUGCUGCACCUGCGGUCCCAAAAUCGCAGGUGCAAAAACACCAGAUACCAGCAACCUUCAGCAACACACAAGUCCAAUUUUCUUCCCGUUGGCCAUCCGAAACCACCUCGAGUCCCCCGGGACCUCGACCAAAGCACAUACAUGCUCCAAUACCUUACCCGAACUUUCUCGAACCAUCAAAACACUAUAGUUAACAUAAAAGUCAUCAAAUUUUAUCAAAUCAAAUCCUAAGUUCAACCAAAACUUCCGAAAUUGGCAUUCGAUCAAAAACCUGACCUAAACACCUCUGAAUCAACUCAAAUUUUGAACACGCAUUCCAAUUUACCGAAUGAAGCUACUGCAACUCUCGGAAUUCCAUUCUGACCCUCGGAUCAAAAUCUCACCUAUCAACUGGAUUUCGCCAAAAUGCUAACUUCGCCAAUUCAAGCCUAAUUCUACACCGGCCUCCAAUUUCAAUACCGACCACACUCCUAAGUCAAAAAUUACUCCUUGAAGCUAACUGAAUCACCCAAAAUCACAUCUGAGCCUUAUAGCUCAUAAGUCAACAUCCGGUUGACUUUUUCAAACCAAAGAUUCCUUAAAGAGACUAAGUAUCUUAUUUCCUACCAAACUCAAUCCGAAUCAACUCAAACUCCCCAAACACAGAUAAUGAAACAUGAAGAAGCAUAAAAUGGGAAAAUGGGACAAUAACACAUGAGACGAUGGGUCGGGUCGUCACAUCCAUAUUACGAGUUGAUAGUACGCACACAUGUGACCAUCUUAUAGAUGCAUCUACCAAAACCAUAUAUUAUUUGAAUGGUCCACACGGAGGGUGAAUGUGCCCACAUAUAUCACCCUGUAUAAGUUCCAGGGAUGCAGUGUAUUCCAUGCUAACUUUAAUAGUUGAUGGUCUAAUAUUUAAUUUUCCAUGAGAACAUACAGCUCAAGAGAAUUCCUUAAAUUGAAGAAUCUUCUGAUUCUUCAUUGCAUGUCCAUGUGAAUUGUCAAUUAUUUUACGCAUCAUAUUAGAACCAGGAUGGCCCAACCGGUCAUGCCAAAUAAUAAAAUUAUCUUGAUUAGUAAACUUCUCAUUUAGUACGUCGUGUGUUUCAAUCCUGCUAAUACUUGUGUAGUAUAAGCCGAACGAAGGAGCAGGUAAUAUUUCAAGCACAUAUUUCUUACCGGACAUUAUUGUAGUAAUAUAAAGAUAUUCAAUUUUUUCAUCAUUUGUAGUCUCAAUAUGAUAGCCAUUUUGGCAAAUAUCUUUGAAACUGUCACGACCCCAGUUCGCCCUCCGUGAACAUGUCGUGACAGCACCUAGUCCCUAUGACUAGGUAAGCCUAACAAUGCGGAAAUAUAAUCAAUUGCGGAAGAAAACAUUUAAAUUGAACCAAGUAAAUAACUGAAUGAACAAGGUGCCACCUGGCACAUACAGUAUCAACUCUCUCAUAACUAAUCAAAACUUCCCAAAACCCGGAAUCUCACAGAUCAUAUGCUAAGGGAUACAAGAGACUCUAACUCAAGAAUGUCCAUACAAAAGAGAAAUACUGAAAGAACUAUACUUAUUACAGAAAGAUGGAAAGGGACUCCUCGGUCUGUGUGCGUCGCAGAUAUGCCUCGAAGUCUCCACCAAUACGCCUCCUUCCAAGGCUGACCGAACUGAAUGAGAGUACCUGAAUCUGCACAACAAAAGUGUGCAGAAGAGUAGCCUGAGCACACCACAAUGGAACCCAGUAAGUAUCAAGACUAAUCUCGAUGGAGUAGUGACGAGGAACAGUCGAGACACCUACCGGUCAGUAAACAGUAUUAUAGAAAUAUAGAGAUGAUAUGUAAAUAUGUAAAGACUGCACGGAUGAGUAAAAUGCUACAAAAUCACAAUAAGGCUAACCGACAAUAAGUAACAAUGAGAAUACAAUAAAUGAUAAUAUGUAAAUGACGGCAGAAAUCACAAUCUAAAUCAUGCUGUCGCAACACAACAAGGACAAACAAAUCACUAAGUCAUUAUUCUGCAAUGAUGCUUACAUAAGGUCCUUCCAACUCCUUCCACAAUUCUACCACAAACUCUCAGACCAGCCACAACUCAUGGAAACCUAGCAUCUGAAGUCUAACACUUGGCAUCUUGUGCCUCAUCAAUAACACGGUCAUGCUGACAACUAAAUAGUCAACUAGGGUCACUCUCACAUAUAUAAUGGGUAAACGAGGGCAUAUCCCUACCCCUAGCCAAAUCAGAAGGGAUUCAUAUCUAAUAGGAGGGUCUAACUACGUGUAUGCUUGUGCAAGUGUAACUAACAGGAAUCUUACCAACUAGAAUCAAUAACACGAUCAUGCUGACAACUAACUAGUCAACUAGGAUCACUCUCACAUAUAUAAUGGGUAAACAAGGGCAUAUCCCUACCCCUAGCCAAAUCAGAAGGGAUUCAUCUCUAAUAGGAGGGUCCAACUAUGUGUAUGCUUGUGCAAAUGUAUCUAACGGGAAUCUUACCAACUAGUAAGUAUAAGAAAUGGAAUGACUAGCACCCGAUUUACUCACACCCGGAUAGCAUCAAUGGAAAUAUCAGUUCAGAACACAAUGAGUUUAAUAGGAAUCUCCCGGGAAGCGAACACGUAGUCGAUCAUACCAAUAACAGAGGAUCUCCCGGGAAUUGAACCCGUAGUCCAUCAUACCAAUAUCAGAGGAUCUCCCUAGAAUUGAACUCGUAGUUCAUAAUACCAAUAGCAGAGGAUCUCCCAGGAAUUAAACCCGUAGUCCAUCAUACCAAUAUCAGAGGAUCUCCCGAGAAUUGAACCCGUAUUCCAUAAUACCAUUAACAAAGGAUCUCCCGGGAAUUGAACCCGUAGUCCAUCAUACCAAUAGCAAACAAAAAUAGGAAAAAUGCCCCCACGGCCUUCACCAUUCAUCACAAUCAGCCCCUGACAUAGCCCACCUUAUUUCUCCACGUGUGCAACCAAUAUAAAUGUACCAAACACCGCCUUAUUUUGCCAUACGUGCAUCACAAUAUUCCUACCUUAUAUCCGCCACAUGCAAAAUCCACAUAUAAGCAUAUAACAUAUCCCGCCUUAUUACCCCGCAUGUGAAAAAAAACAUCAAUAGCAAUAAUAACACGGCAAAGACCUCGUGCAACUCUCCAACAACGACCGCACGACAGAGACCUCGUGCAUCACAGUACCAACAGCCGCUCAAUAAAUGACAAUAUAUAUACAUGAGCAAAACAAGAAAAUCAACAAUGGAAACGAUAAUGCCCCGGCAAGAGAAUCGACAACAGAACCAAUAAUGUCCCGGCAAGAGAAUCAACAAUAGAAAUAAAAACAUCUCGGCAAGGGAAUCAACAACAGAAACAAUAACGUCCCGGCAAGAGAAAUAAACAAAACCUGCUAAGGCCACGGAACACCAAGGAAAGCACAAUAACCUCAACGACAAAACAAGACAUAAUAAGUGCAAAAUAACUACACCGAUACCACAACAGUUGAACAUGUAAUAUAAUUGCACGAAGUUACAAAGGAACCUACAAUCAAGGAGUAACCAACAGUAAAAAGUCAACAUGAAUCAAAUAAAUUACAAUUUAAAGAAAUAACAACUAAUCAUAAGUACCUAUCUUCUUUCCAUUUAAAUCCAAUUAAUUACAUGAGAUAUAAUAUUUAUGAUUUCCACUUAAAGCCGAGUAGUUAGAAGGGUAAUAUGACUAUAGAAGGAUAAUUGUCUUCAGUUAAGCACGUAAAGGUCCAUUAAACAACAAGAAUAAAUCAAGAAGGGCAACAAAUAUCGAGUAAGACAUGCAGGGUGAUACUAAUAACAGGGAACUCAAUCGUAUCGAUAUCAUACUCGGUGAUUUCAAGAGACUAAUAGCCUAAAAGGCAAAAUUUACCACAAACAAAUUCGAGCACGCACCCGUCACCUCGCGUAUACGGAAUACAAUCAACAAAGAAGACUCAAAUCUUAAGGGAAAGUCCCCCACACAAGGUUAGGCAAGAUAUUUACCUCAAAUCGGUCAAUUCAAUACUCAACUUAGCUUUUCCUUUACCAAUUCAUCAAUGCUCGGCUCAAUCUAGACAAAAACAACUUGAAUACAUCAAACAUUGCAAGAGAAAGCAAUUUCAAUUGACAAAACUAUGAUUCUUAUACAAUUUGCAAAAAGUCAACAAAAGUCAACUCCCCGGGACCGCACCUCGGAACCCGACAAAAUUUAUAAAAAUCGAACACGCAUUCCGCUACGAGUUCACCCACAUAAAAAAAUUAUCUAAUUCCGAUACCAUUUGGUUAUUCAAGUCAUCAUUUUACUUUUUUGAAAGAUUUCACAAUUUUCCCAAAUAUUUUCUUUAGAUUCUCAUGAAUUUGAUGUUAAGUCUAAGAUAUAAAUACAAAAUAUAGUUAGAAAUGGACUAGAGACACUUACCCAUAGACCGCACAUCGGAACCCAAACAAAUUUACAAAAAUCGAACACUCAUUCCGCUAUGAGUUCACCCAUAUAAAAAUUAUCUAAUUCCGAUGCCAUUUGGUCAUUCAAAUCAUCAUUUUAUAUUUUUGAAAGAUUUCACAAUUUUUCCCAAAUUUUUCCUUUAGAUUCUUAUGAAUUUGAUGUUAAAUCUAAGAUAUAAACACAAAAUAUAGCUAGAAAUGGACUACAGACAAUUACCCAAUGAUUUGGAGGAGUUUUGGCCUUUGGAAAAUCACCUAUGGAGGUUGAGGGUUUGAGAAAAUUGAGGUGAAAAUCCCGUCAAAAACCUCACUUAACAGGUCUCACAUGUCGCAUUUGCGACCCAGGGUUCGCAAUUGCGAACCCUUGGAAAUUGCAAACAAAAACGGGACAAAAACUUUGCAUUUGCGAACUGGGCGUCGCAAAUGCGAUGAAAAAGUUCGCAUUUGUGAACACACCAGAAACCAACAAUUUUUCCUUACACAAAAAUAAGCAUAACUUCCUCAUACAAUAUCCAAAUUUGGCGACUCUUUUUCCUAUGGCUCUGAAAUUUAAAUACAGAUCUAAUGGUUCAAACAAAACUGAAUUUGGAUAUCAUUUGCUCAAGAUGGUGUCAUUUUUUCUUGAAGAAACGAUGACAAAGCAUCCAAAAACAAGUGCAACAUAGCCUAAAACUGUCUGACACUCACCCGAGGCUCCCGGGAUCCUGUCGAAUCACACACACAAUUCAUAUAACCUAGAAAUCCCAAAUCACAUAACACAACAUCGAAACGACAAAUCAAACCAAAAAUCAAGCUUAAGAACUUCUAAAUCUUAAUCUCAUGCCGAAACCUAUCAAUUCAACUGACAAGUCCAAAAUGACAUAACGGAGCUGCUCCAACUCUCGGAAUCGCAUUCACACCCUGAUUUCCCAGAAGUCAACUGUGAGUCAAACUUCUCCAUUUUCCAACUUCAACUUUCGCUGACAAUUUACUCUACGGACCUCCAAAUCUGAAUCCGGAUGCGCGCCUAACUCCAAAAUCACCAUACAAAUCUGUUGAGAUCAUCCAUGACCCAUUCCGGAGUCGUUUACCCAAAAGUCCGGUUCCGGUCAAAUUUUUACCAUUCUAACUUUCAAGAUAAGGUUUCUUCUCUGUAAUUGACUCCAAACUAUCCAAAACUGAAUUCCACCAUGCACGCAAGUCGAUACUAAUGUUCCGAAGAUGCACCAGACCUUAUGCCGCUGAACGGAGCUUAUUUUUUCAAAACGACCGGUCGGGUCAUUACAGAAACUUAACUAGUUUCUUUGAGAUUUACUACAAAAUAGUGCUUCAUCAAUAGCCAAAUUUGUUCCUCCUGGUAGUAAUGAAUUGGCUCUUCCAGAACCUUCAAUUAAUCUUGUACUACUGGAUAUUGUAUUAACAUUUGUCGGAAGCUAACAUACGCCGGAAGCCAUGGGAAGGAGGGGAAGGCCAAAACGAAAUCAGCAAAAAAUAGCAACAGAAGAACAGUGUUCGUCAGCUACUAGAAAUGCAGUCUUAGAGUUGUUCGUAUCUCCAAAAGGGAUACAGAUUGAAGAACCAGAGGACAGAUCAAAAGCUAGGAACAUGCAAGCUGGGGGAGACAACGAGGAAGAAGAUCUAGCUCGAUCGAAAGGGAAAAUGAAGGAGGGGAUGUGUACACCAGCUCCAAUAGCAACUAAAGCUAGAGGAGAAGAGGGGGAAGCAAGGAACAAGCAACGAAGAAGUAUACUGAUGGAACCGUACCAUGCAAAAAUGGUACUGUUGAGAAAACUGAAGAGGAUGGAAAAUAAGAGGAAAUUAGGGCUCAAAGCUGGGCAAAUGUGGUGGGGGGUAAUAAACUGGAUAUGAAGGGUAUGAACCUUCAGUAUAUUUCCCCAAUCGUGCAAAAUGGUAAAAAAAUUGUGAAUAUUGAAGAUGAGGACAUCGAGAAGGAGACAGAGAAAUGGAAGAAUAUUGUAUUUAUAUAUGUGAUAGGGGAUUCUCCAACUAUAUGAGCUAUGGACAGAUUCGUGCAGUUAGUGGGUACAUAUACUAAGAAACCACACAUUUACUACCAUAACGAUGAUUAACUUAAUAUACGAUUUGCUAGUAUAGAAGAGAGGAAUCAAGUCCUGUGUACUGGGCCACACACAAUCAAUAAUAGGCCAAUUAUCAUGAAGGCAUGGUCGGAGGAUUUCAUUCUCCAAAAUGAAGUGUUGAAAAUAAUUCCACUAUGGGCUAAAUUGCUAAAUCUACUAGUUAACUGGUGGAGUAUGACUGCACUAAGUAAAAUAGGUAGUGCACUUGGUAAUCCAAUCUAUGCUAGUGUACUACAAGUAGAGUUAGAGUAUCAUAUGCUAGGCUACUUGUAGAGAUGGAUGUCACCAAACCUCUUCCAAGGCUGGUGAAAUUGCAGAAUCCAAAGGGGAAGGAUUUAGGCUAGGAAGUAGAGUAUGCCUAGGAGCCAAAGUAUUGCAGUACAUGUAUGAAAAUAGGGCAUGACUGUGAUGAAAAAAGGAAGCCAAUGCAGCAGCAAAGGAAUGUGCAGCAAAAGAAAAUAACCAAAGGCAAACUGAUGUGGGUGAGAACUGAAAAAGAAGGAGGAAAUAUGGUAAAGGAUAAUGUGCAGACACAGGAGAACCUAGACAACAUGAAGGCAGAUCUGGAACAUAAACCUGAGGAGAUACAAAACAAAGAAGUAGGAUGGACCACUAUGGUUGGAAAAUCAGUAGCUAGAGCAGCUAAAUCCAAGAAAAAUAAAGACCAUAGUAUUGAUAAAAACUAAUGGUUUUCAGAGUUUGAUGGAAAAUCAUGGGAGAGAAUAAGCAAGUACCAGCCAACCUAUUAGUCAAGGAGAUCAGGGGUAUCAACACUAUCCUUACUUUAUUCCAAUAUGGGUGUAAUUAUUUGGAAUGUCAGAGUAAUAAAUAAAGUUUAUAAGUAGAAAUAAAUAAAGGUAUUUAUUAGAGGGAAUAAUAAAGCAGUUAUAACACUAGUAGAACAUAGGGUCAAAGAAAUAAAGACCAUAGAAAUAAUCAGGAAAAUAGCUCCAGGUUGGGAAUGGGUUUCAAAUGCAAGAGCAUGGGAAAAAUGAAAAAUAUAGGUUCUGUGGAACCCUAGAAUCUAUAUCUUUGAUCUUUGUGACAUGGAUGAGCAGAUUAUUCAUGGACAGAUUAGAGUGAAGUCAAAACCAAUCAGCUUUGGCUUCACAGCAGUAUAUGGGCUUCAUACUAUCAAUGAUAGGAAAGCAUUGUGGCAAAAGCUAAGACAGAUCAAUUGCACUCAGCAAGGGCCUUGGAUUGCAAUGGGAGACUACAAUGUUGUGCUAUAAGUAACAGAUAGACAACAUGGACUGAAGCGCACGAUAUAGAAGUUAAGGACUUCAAAGAAUACAUGAUGUCAACAGGAAUGAAUGAACUGCAGUAUGUUAGAAGGGAAUAUACAUGGACCAACAAUCACACAUAUAGCAAGAUAGAUAGGGGCUGGUAAAUGUAGAUUGGAUGAUGACCAUGCCUAGCUUAAGAAUACAGCGCUGGAGCCUCUAAUAUCAUAUCACUUUCAUGUAAAGUUGAUAAUGACACGGUUGAGACAAAUAAAAGUAGGCCUUUUAGAUUCUUAAAUUGCAUAGCAGAACAUCCUCUCUUCAUACAACAGGUUGAAAUGGCUUGGAAAGAAAUAAAGGAUUUGGGAAAAAUUAAAGCAGUAUGGCAGAAAUUAAAGAAGACUAAGGAGCUAAUCAAGGAGAUAAACACAAAACAUUACAAGUAGAUUGAAGACAGAAUCAAAAAGACAAGAGAUGAGCUGCAAACAGUGCAAGAAGAUAUGAGUGACAAAAUGAAAGAUACUGAGCUAAUUGGGAAAGAGAAAGAAUUGAAGCAAAAGCUGAAAAAGUGGAUGAUGAUAGAGGAGAGUGUAUAUAAGACGAAGUCAAGGGUGCAGUGGCUGAAGUUGGGAGAUUCCAACUCAAGGUACGUUUUUGCUCAUAUGAAACACAGGAAUAAUACUAAUGGGAUUCAAAUGCUAAUAGAUGAUAUGGGAAGGCAACUAGUGCUUGAUGACGAAAUAGAGGCAGAAAUCCUCAACUAUUACAGGGGACUCCUUGGGUCCAGAGCUGAAUCCAUUCCUGUAGUCAAUCCCAAUGUAACCAGAAUGGGGACACUCCUUAGUAGAGAACAGCAACUGAGAAUAAUAAGCCAGAUAAUAAAGGAAGAAAUAUGGGAGGCCCAAAAAGAAAUAUGUGACAUGAAGGCUCCUGGAUACGAUGGGUUUAAUGUUGUAUUCUUCAAAAGAGCAUUGGGGACAAUAGGGGUGAGGUUACGCAGGCAAUUGAAGAAUUUUUUAAAUUUGCACAAAUGCACAAGCUAGUGAAUUGUACUUCUAUAACUCUUAUUCCUAAAGUGAAGAACCCUUGAAACAUUAAAGAGUUAAGACCAAUCUCAUGUUGUAUAGUGGUGUAUAAGAUGAUCUCAAAAGUGUAAACAAAAAGGCUGCAGGGUAUAAUGGAUAACUUAGUAGACAAUACCCAGGCUGCAUUUGUACCUGGGAGAGCUAUAAGAGACAAUAUUAUUCUGAGUCAUGAAUUGGUCAAAGGUUAUUGGAGGAAAGGCAUAUUCCCUAGGUGUAUGAUGAAACUAGAUAUGUAAAGAGCCUAUGACUUAAUUGAGUGGGAGUUUAUGGAACAAAUGUUACAUGCUCUAGCAUUCCCAGCAAAGUUUGUAAGAUGGAUAAUGAGUUGCAUUGGAACAGUCACAUAUACUGUGCUGAUUAAUGGUGUCCAAACAAAACCAUUUGAAGCAAGAAGAGGAUUGAGGCAAGGAGAUCCUCUGUCACCCUAUCUCUUUGUGCUUUCAAUGGAAUACCUGACAAAGAGGCUGAAAAUGCUCAACAACAAUCAAGACUUCAAUUACCACCCCAAGUGUGCAAAGAUGCAAAUCUUGCAACUUGGGUUUGCUGACGACCUUUUACUUUUAUUCAGGGGAGAUUUGAAAUUAGUUCAACUAUUAUAUACUGGCUUUCAAGAGUUUUCACAAGCAUCUGUACUGAAGAUUAACAAAAAUAAAAGUUAUUUAUUCUGUGGAGGGGUUACUCAAUAAGAACAAGAGGAAAUUCUAAGCUUCCGGAGAAUACAAAAGGGAGAAUUACCUGCGAGAUAUUUAGGAGUCCCUUUGAGCACCAGAAGAAUCAAUAUAGCACAAUGCCAACCUCUUGUAGAGAAAAUAGUAGGCAUAAUAACAUCUUGGACAACAAGGUUCUUAUCUUAUACUCGAAGAGUAAAACUCAUUAAAAGUAUCAUAUUCUCAAUGUAGACUUAUUGGGCACAAAUAUUUAAGAUCACGAAGCUAAUACAGGGAAUCUGUAGAAGAUUUGUAUGGACAGGUAAGAGUAAAGUCUCAAAAAGGCAUUACUAGCAUGGGAAAGGAUAUGUAUCCAAAAAUAGCAUGAGGUUUUAACAUAAUUAAUAUAGCAUUAUGGAAUAAAGCAGCUAUAUGUAAACAUUCUUUUGACCUAUGCAGAGAAAAGAACAAAUUGUGGAUCCAAUAGAUACACAGUUACUACAUCAAAGGCAAGAAAGUAUGGGGUAUUCAUGGAAGCAAGUAUCAUGGAUGGUUGGGAAUAUAUUCAAAGCUCAAGAAACACUUGUGAAGGUUGGCUUCAAUCACGAGGAAAUAAGGAGAACUAGGAAGUGCAGCAUCAAAGCUUUGUACCACAAGCUUCGUGGAAUAUUCGACAAGGUGAAAUGAAAGAAGCUAGUAUGUCACAAUUUAGGCUGUCCACGUUGGACCUUCAUGCUAACGUUGACAGCACAUUGCAAGUUGUAUACGAGGUAUAGGUUGCAGAAGUGGGGCUUACAAGUAGAAGAGGGAUGUGUUCUUUGCAGAACAGAGAAAGAAAGUAUUCAACACCUGUUCUUUGAGUGUGAGCACUCUACAACACUAUGGAGCAGGAUAGUAGCUUGGCAAGGGAUGAAUAGGGGAGCUUUAGAGUGGGAACAAGAGCUUGCAUGUGCAGCAAAUAUAACAAAGAAGAAUCCAAGGACUGAACUAUUCAAAUGGCCUUAGCUGCAAUAGUUUACUACAUAUGGCAGGAGGGAAACAUGAGAAUUUUUCAGGAAAAAUCAAGGAGAUGGGAAGAAAUAUGUACGAAGAUUAUCCAAGAAUUCAUUGUAGAAGCCACAAAUAUAUAGAAGGAAGAUUGAGUAGACUUAACUGGUACCCUUGUAGUAGCUAAAAUGUAAAUUUUUUAGACAAAGGAGGGAUGCGGAUAUAGGAGAAUAGGAUGACAUGUAUGGGUUAUGACUCUCUAGUAUAUAUUUUCCCUGGUAAAUAGAAAGCUUAAUUACAAAAAAAAAAA
This 41360-nucleotide long non-coding RNA is filed under the name Nicotiana benthamiana. RNAcentral describes it as "long non-coding RNA (NBEN_LNC010577)". Lineage: Eukaryota; Viridiplantae; Streptophyta; Magnoliopsida; Solanales; Solanaceae. The record is from RNAcentral.